RNAcentral lists this long non-coding RNA (210 nucleotides) under Mytilus galloprovincialis (Mediterranean mussel). Lineage: Eukaryota; Metazoa; Mollusca; Bivalvia; Mytilida; Mytilidae. The record is from RNAcentral.
CUGGUAAUUAGGUAUUUUCAAAGACAUAUGUGUAUAUAUGUCUCUGGUAUUUUAUAGGAGCUUGUGUACAGGGCACUUUAUUGUAGACUUUUAUUAUUUUAGCCCCCUUUUAUUUAGACUCCAUUAUUUAUUUUUUUAAUUUUCUUUUAGUAUAUAGUAUCAUUACAACCGUGCGUUAAAACUAGGAAUUAAUAGUCAAUUGAAAAACAC